Molecule: non-coding RNA, 26 nt
Filed under: Homo sapiens (human)
Lineage: Eukaryota; Metazoa; Chordata; Mammalia; Primates; Hominidae
Source: RNAcentral
UGCCUGCUUUUGCUGGUGGCAGUGAC